RNAcentral lists this non-coding RNA (31 nucleotides) under Homo sapiens (human). The record is from RNAcentral. Lineage: Eukaryota; Metazoa; Chordata; Mammalia; Primates; Hominidae.
UGGGAGAUGGCACAGCUCUCCAGAGCUUUGA